UACCAAAUUACUUUCGUAAUAUGGUAUCAGAGCCCUGGUUAUUUUCGAAAUAAUUUUUCAAUUAAAAAAUUCGUCAUGAAUUUUUUAAUAGUUUUUUGAAAAAUUUCUUUGCUUCUUCGAAAUCGUGACUUCUGAAAAUCGCGACUGGAGGUUCAGCGACGUUCUAUCUUCAGAUUUCGCGACUUUUUGAAGCGCCUGUCUCCACUCACGCGACACCAAAAUCCGUGAUUUUUUGAAGCGCCCGUCUCCACUCAUGCGACACCAAAAUCCGUGAUUUUUUCGCGUUUUUUGCAGCUCACGAUUUUUGGCGAUUUGCACGAUGUGAUCUUUGGUGGAUUUUUUCCACCGGUGGCUUGUCUCUUCCGCGUUUUGGUGCGACAGCUCUAUAAACAGUGACGGGAAUAUCUGGGUUAUAUAACUUCUACAGAUUUUUUUCUGCCAUUUUCGUCCACCCACGACCUUUCAAUCUGCGGCUAGGGUUUUUACGAAAACCCUCUGUUUUUGGCUGCCUUGGGAAAUCUGACACCAGAUUCCUUCUGGGUUUUUCGAGAGCUCAACUGGGUUGUUUUCAGAAUUUUGUGGGUGCAUCGUUUUCCAUGCCUCAAAUUUUGUGCCAGUAGAUUUCAAAUCUGAUUUCAGAUUCUUUCUAUGUUAAGUGCAUGAUCAUCUUUGCGACGAUGUCCACUAUGUUUAAAAAUUAAAAUAUAAUGAACAAACAGUAAUCUUGCUGAUA
Molecule: long non-coding RNA, 733 nt
Organism: Cryptomeria japonica (Japanese cedar)
Lineage: Eukaryota; Viridiplantae; Streptophyta; Pinopsida; Cupressales; Cupressaceae
Exons: 2
Source: RefSeq, a predicted model, not a curated record